Long non-coding RNA from Cyprinus carpio carpio, 967 nucleotides. The record is from Ensembl. Lineage: Eukaryota; Metazoa; Chordata; Actinopteri; Cypriniformes; Cyprinidae.
AAAAUCCAAUCAAUCAGUUUAAACAAUCAGUUCAAGUUAAAAACUCUAAAAAUAUAGUUGACUACUGACUUCUGACUAUGACUUCCAUUACUCUGGAUGAAAAUUUGCUGAUGCCUUUUCAUCUAAUUGAAUUUCAAGCGAGCGAGGACAUCGCUGUUGUGCCAAUUGACUGGUAUGAUGACGGGAUGGUGUACUGGCCCAGCUUUAAGAGCACUGAGCGUGUGAAAAGGGCAGCUGCUAACGAGGAGAAGCAUGAGCCAAACUGGCCAAGAUAUGAUGUAAAGGUUGUCAGAACUUGUGACAACUACAAAAGACGCCAUUAGGGCUUAUGACUCAAUAUCAGAACGGCUGCAACACCUCUGAGCUACAGUCUGAGGCAGAGCAGGAGGGUAAGCUGCCAGAGAAAAGAUUCAGGAAGCCAGUCCAUCGUUUUGGGGACUCUGAUGAGAGUGAAGAAGAGCCAGAAAAUGGUGACUUUGCAUCUCUGAGGAUGCCACGACCUUCCAACUUGCCUGGUGUAUCAGUUGAAGCCUCAUGCCCAAGCCAAUUGCACUGGAAGACUCCAUCAUCUUGCCGAGUGCCAGGCAGCAGAGUAACUACUCCUCAACCUGGAGAAAACUGUCUAGCACCAGACUAUGGGGCAGGACAGCAUCACCCUUCACCACCUCAACUCCCAACACCCGCAUUUAACAUGCGGAGAGUUACUCAAGGAAUGGCAGUCCCUCCACAACUCCCUCCACCCCCCGCACCAGCCCUCAACAUGCGGCCAACAGAGGAAGCCUGUUCAAGCCUGACCUACAGACCAACAUGGCGAGGGGGAAGAAUGGCCGAUACCAUUCCCUGCUCUGCGGCUGAGGUCCACAUACUUAGCCUGCUGGAAACCAUUAAACAGCAACAAGACCAGCUUGUGGCAAAGGUGAACUACCUCAGCAGCAGGCUGAACAGCACCCCGGGGGCCAGAUGUUGA